Molecule: ribosomal RNA, 465 nt
Filed under: uncultured bacterium
Lineage: Bacteria
Description: partial 16S ribosomal RNA
Rfam family: Bacterial small subunit ribosomal RNA
Source: RNAcentral
CCUACGGGCGGCAGCAGUGGGGAAUAUUGCGCAAUGGGCGAAAGCCUGACGCAGCGACGCCGCGUGAGGGAUGAAGGUCUUCGGAUCGUAAACCUCUGUCAGCAGGGAAGAACGGUCACUGUGCUAAUCAGCAGUGAAUUGACGGUACCUGCAAAGGAAGCACCGGCUAACUCCGUGCCAGCAGCCGCGGUAAUACGGAGGGUGCGGGCGUUAAUCGGAAUUACUGGGCGUAAAGCGCUCGUAGGCGGUAUGUCAAGUCAAGGGUGAAAUCCCCGCGCUCAACGUGGGAACUGCCUUUGAAACUGGGAAACUGGAGUGUGUGAGAGGAUAGUGGAAUUCCAGGUGUAGGAGUGAAAGCCGUAGAUAUCUGGAGGAACAUCAGUGGCGAAGGCGACUAUCUGGCACAUAACUGACGCUGAGGCACGAAAGCGUGGGGAUCGAACAGGAUUAGAUACCCCAGUAGUC